This 72-nucleotide transfer RNA is filed under the name Loxodonta africana (African savanna elephant). It matches the Rfam family "tRNA". From Rfam's summary of the family: Transfer RNA (tRNA) molecules are approximately 80 nucleotides in length. The record is from Rfam by way of RNAcentral. Lineage: Eukaryota; Metazoa; Chordata; Mammalia; Proboscidea; Elephantidae.
ACAUUGGUGGUUCAGUGACAGAACACUCGCCUUCCAUGUGGGAGAAUCCAGGUUUGAUUCCCGGCCAGUGGA